UGGGGAAUUUUGGACAAUGGGGGAAACCCUGAUCCAGCUAUCCCGCGUGUGCGAUGAAGGCCUUCGGGUUGUAAAGCACUUUUGGCAGGAAAGAAACGUCGCGGGUUAAUACCCCGCGGAACUGACGGUACCUGCAGAAUAAGCACCGGCUAACUACGUGCCAGCAGCCGCGGUAAUACGUAGGGUGCAAGCGUUAAUCGGAAUUACUGGGCGUAAAGCGUGCGCAGGCGGUUCGGAAAGAAAGAUGUGAAAUCCCAGAGCUUAACUUUGGAACUGCAUUUUUAACUACCGGGCUAGAGUGUGUCAGAGGGAGGUGGAAUUCCGCGUGUAGCAGUGAAAUGCGUAGAUAUGCGGAGGAACACCGAUGGCGAAGGCAGCCUCCUGGGAUAACACUGACGCUCAUGCACGAAAGCGUGGGGAGCAAACAGGAUUAGAUACCCUGGUAGUCCACGCCCUAAACGAUGUCAACUAGCUGUUGGGGUCUUCGGACCUUGGUAGCGCAGCUAACGCGUGAAGUUGACCGCCUGGGGAGUACGGUCGCAAGAUUAAAACUCAAAGGAAUU
This 563-nucleotide ribosomal RNA is filed under the name uncultured bacterium. RNAcentral describes it as "partial 16S ribosomal RNA". It matches the Rfam family "Bacterial small subunit ribosomal RNA", at positions 355 to 911 of the family's 1533-position model. The record is from RNAcentral.